UAUCCAGAUAUGUCAAUGCCUCACAGCUGUGAAGCUGCCACUCCCUCCCAAACUCAUGGCACAGCACCCAGCCAUUCGGAAGAUUUGAGGCACAAACAUCAUCCAUUCAAAAACAUCUGGAAUGUCCUGGAGGAACACAAGAAGACCCUUUUGAGGAUAACAGAAUUCAUAAAGUACAUGCCAUGGAAGAGCACAUGGGGCCAAUGACAAGGAAGAUGGAGGUUAUGGAGAGGAAGUCCAUGACUUUGAAGGCUGCCAUGGCUUUGAACAUGCCACGACCUGCUGUUGGUCCAGUGCAGCAGAGAGCAUAAGCUGGUGGAGCUAGCCAGAAGCCUGGCUCAACCAGAAAUGAGAAACCAAAUGGUAAUUAUUUUGGCAUAAUUAUGUGAAUUAUGUGUUGCUGUAUAUAAUGUAUAAUGUACUGGUUUGGCUAAUGAAGAUAGACCACAUAAUGUUUUCCAUAUUAGUUUUCAUAUUUCAUUUUCAUCAUCUGCUUUAAUUUUUGUAGAC
Molecule: long non-coding RNA, 510 nt
Organism: Engraulis encrasicolus (European anchovy)
Lineage: Eukaryota; Metazoa; Chordata; Actinopteri; Clupeiformes; Engraulidae
Exons: 3
Source: RefSeq, a predicted model, not a curated record